UGUAUAUUCAAAUGUGGAGAGGGAACCUUUGUUUUGUUCCGCAGACCACGUGUUGCCCAGGGAAGCAUUGGCUGGCGCACUUAGAGCCACAUGGGCAUUCAAACUGAAGAAGCUGUAAGAAAUUAAGAUUUAUUCCUCUGGAGUCAAUGCGGCUAAUGAGUUCUGACGGGAUUUUUUGGGGACUUUGCAAGACGUGUCCACAAUAAAUGGCUGUUGAAAACCAA
This is a long non-coding RNA of Poecilia latipinna (sailfin molly), 224 nucleotides long. RefSeq lists it as uncharacterized. The transcript has 2 exons. NCBI's taxonomy places the organism in Eukaryota, Metazoa, Chordata, Actinopteri, Cyprinodontiformes, Poeciliidae. The record is from RefSeq and is a predicted model, not a curated record.